This 465-nucleotide ribosomal RNA is filed under the name uncultured bacterium. Its description in RNAcentral is "partial 16S ribosomal RNA". It matches the Rfam family "Bacterial small subunit ribosomal RNA", at positions 28 to 507 of the family's 1533-position model. The record is from RNAcentral.
GACGAACGCUGGCGGCGUGCUUAACACAUGCAAGUCGAACGGAAAGGCCCUGCUUUCAGUUUACUCGAGUUGCGAACGGGUGAGUAACACGUGGGUGGUCUGCCCUGCACUUCGGGAUAAGCCUGGGAAACUGGGUCUAAUACCUGAUAGGAGCCAUUUUUAGUGUGAUGGUUGGAAAGUUUUUUCGGUGUAUGAUGAGCUCGCUGCCUAUCAGCUUGUUGGUGGGGUAAUUGCCUACCAAGGCGGCGACGGGUAGCCGGCCUGAGAGGGUGGACGGCCACAUUGGGACUGAGAGACGGGCCAGACUCCGGCGGGAGGCAGAAGGGGGGAAUAUUGCACAAUGGGCGCACGCCUGAUGCAGCGACGCCGCGUGGGGGAUGACGGCCUUUGGGUUGUAAACACAUUUCGCUAGGGACGAAGCUUUUUGUGACGGUAACUAGAUAAGAAGCACCGGCUAAAUACGUG